GAAAAGGAAAAGGAAUAUGAAAUCUGGUUUCAUUAUCAAACAAGAGACGAUAUACCAAAUACAAUACAUGUUUGAGUCUGGAAAAUUUUUUGAAGUUCACCUGGACUAAAACAAAUAGUCUUGAAUGUCUCAAAAUUGAUGUUAGCUGGGACAUAGUAAUAUGUGUUUUCAUACACAAUAUAUUUGGUAGGUGCUGGUAAAUUUUCCAAGUUUCAAAUUUUGAAAUUCAAACAGCAGGCUACUGUCAUCACCCUCCUCGUAGCAUUCUGCAACCUUAAGACACACCAUUCUCAACAGACCAUCAGGCGAUCAGCCUGUGAUUUCUCAAUUUCUAAAUCUUGACCUCCCCACUUCCGCAUACGCUCAUUCGUCUCCUCAACCUCCUUGUUCCAAUUUGUCUUAUAUAGUACAAUCAAGAGUAGCACAGUCUGCAAAGAUGUCCCAGCUAUCAUUCCCAGCCAAAGUCCCUUUGCUCCCAACUUUGCCACAUAGCCAAGAAUAAAUCCUAGAGGGAGUCCAAAAAUGUAAUAAGAUCCCAGAUUAAUAUAAGCCACUAAAGCUUGCCAUCCACCUCCCACAGCAACACCUGAUAUAACAGGCUGAACACUGUUAAGAACCAUAGUUAUUCCGAGAAGGUAAGAAAGAUCACCAACAGCUUGUUGCAUAUCUUUGCUGCUAGUAAAUAUAAUGGCCAAAUGCUCUCUAGCUACCAUUACAAUAACCAUACAGAGUAGCCCAAUUAGGAGUGACUGAAACACUGAGAUGUAGACACAGUAUUUAGUGGCCCUUGGACGUCCUAGGCCAAGCUCAUUUGAGACCCGUACACUUAUGGCAGCAUUAACUCCAAUAAACAACAUGCCUUCAUACCCAUUGACAUUCAUGCAAAUAGAAAUAGAUCCAACUGCAAUAACUGCAUUGUCAAGAUGGCCAACAAGGAUGAUAAUACUCAUCAUAUACCAAAUUUCAAGACAUAGCAUAAUGGCUGAGGCAAUGGAGAGCCUCACAAAGGACCAUAUUUCGUUAAAUGCUGCCCAGGACAAUCCCUUCCACCCAUCCUUACACCAUCCAACAACAUAAGCAAACUGAGCUAUUGCCAAGACCCAACUUGUUAGGUUAAAGGCUAUGGCAGCACCAGUCGUACCCCAGCCGAAUGUGUAAAUAAAGAGCCAAAGAAGUGUAGCAUGCAUGAGUAGAACUACAAAUCCAAUCCAGGCAAUCACAUCAACUUUGCUUUGGGCUUGAAGGAAUUUGGAGGUAGGAAAAUUGAUGGAAAGCGAAAACAAUUGGGGGAUGAUUAAUAUGGCAUAUUCCCCCGCAAGCUCAGCAAUUUGAGAUUCUUGGCCUAGUAGCUUAAGCACUGGGGUUGCAAAUAGAUAUAUUGGCAAGAGCAAGAUACAAGUUACAAACAGAAUAAUGAUAGAGCGUUGCAUAUAAACACCAAGCAUGUGAAUUUGACCUGCACCAUAUGCCUGUCCACACAGCGUCUCCAAUGCACUUCCCAUUCCCAGCAUGACCCCGAAGGCGAGACCGGCAAUAACCGAGUUCUCAACGGAUACAGCAGCGAGCUCAACCUCACCAACAAGACCAGCAAAGGUCUGAGUAAGUGCACCCAGUGAAUACUGGCAAAUGGCAGUAAAGAUCGCUGGUCCUGCUAGCUUCCAUAGCCUCUUGGACUCUUCCCCAAAAUCUCUAAUAACGCUAAUAUGCUUUUGCUCUUGACGGCCACCAUUGGGAUUGCUAUCGAGAAGAGGAGUAUCUAUGGCCAUGGAUCACUUGUGCUUGCUAAAGCUCCUAGUCUGCUGCUGUCCUUGCAAUAAAAAAGAAUUGCUCUCAAUCUACUGCGAGUAUUUAAGACGUAAAGAAAAGGGGUUUAUCAAUAAAGAUUCUAUGAUGAUCUGUAGUUCUUAGUCAACCAGGUAGAGGUAGGUAUGAACUAGUUUAGCAUAGCUAGCCGCAUGGUGUUU
This 1964-nucleotide unclassified non-coding RNA is filed under the name Hevea brasiliensis (rubber tree). The record is from RNAcentral. Lineage: Eukaryota; Viridiplantae; Streptophyta; Magnoliopsida; Malpighiales; Euphorbiaceae.